AGAGUUUGAUCAUGGCUCAGGAUGNNNNNNNAGCGGCAGGCUUAAUACAUGCAAGUCGAGGGGCAGCAUGACUGUAGCAAUACAGUUGAUGGCGACCGGCAAACGGGUGCGGAACACGUACACAACCUUCCUUUAAGUGGGGAAUAGCCCGGGGAAACCCGGAUUAAUACCCCGUAAUAUAAUGAAGUGGCAUCACUUUACUAUUAUAGCUCCGGCGCUUGAAGAUGGGUGUGCGACUGAUUAGGCAGUUGGCGGGGUAACGGCCCACCAAACCUACGAUCAGUAACUGGUGUGAGAGCACGACCAGUCACACGGGCACUGAGACACGGGCCCGACUCCUACGGGAGGCAGCAGUAAGGAAUAUUGGUCAAUGGACGCAAGUCUGAACCAGCCAUGCCGCGUGGAGGAUGAAGGUCCUCUGGAUUGUAAACUUCUUUUAUCUGGGAAGAAACCCACGAAUUCUUUUGUGGUUGACGGUACCAGAUGAAUAAGCACCGGCUAACUCCGUGCCAGCAGCCGCGGUAAUACGGAGGGUGCAAGCGUUAUCCGGAUUCACUGGGUUUAAAGGGUGCGUAGGUGGGCAGGUAAGUCAGUGGUGAAAUCUCUGGGCUUAACCCGGAAACUGCCAUUGAUACUAUCUGUCUUGAAUACCGUGGAGGUUAGCGGGAUAUGUCAUGUAGCGGUGAAAUGCUUAGAUAUGACAUAGAACACCAAUUGCGAAGGCAGCUGGCUACACGAAUAUUGACACUGAUGCACGAAAGCGUGGGGAUCAAACAGGAUUAGAUACCCUAGUAGUCC
RNAcentral lists this ribosomal RNA (798 nucleotides) under uncultured bacterium. RNAcentral describes it as "bacterial SSU rRNA". It matches the Rfam family "Bacterial small subunit ribosomal RNA", at positions 8 to 796 of the family's 1533-position model. The record is from RNAcentral.